Molecule: long non-coding RNA, 1382 nt
Filed under: Junco hyemalis (dark-eyed junco)
Lineage: Eukaryota; Metazoa; Chordata; Aves; Passeriformes; Passerellidae
Description: lncRNA (ENSJHYG00000006997.1)
Source: RNAcentral
AUGGAUGAUGGAUGGAUGGAUGAGGGACAGGCUGGGGCUGGGGUUGAUCCGCAGGGAGGGUGCUAUGGGGCUGUGCUGGAGCCUCCCCAGGGAUGUUCUGGAAGGUUCUGGUUCCCCAGGGAAGGAGUGCUCCUUCGAGCAGCUGGAGCACGUGCGGGAGAUGCAGGAGAAGCUGGCACGGCUGCACUUCGGGCUGGACGUGUGCGUGGAGGAGCUCCCCGAGGAGCAGAAGAAGGCGGCGGCUGACAGGAACCUGGACCAGCUGCUGGCACACCUGGAAGAGCUCAGCAGCUCCAUCCAGAAGCUGCACCUGGCCGAGAGCUCGGACCCCGAGGACGCGGGGCCCUGACCCCGGCCCUGUCCCCGUCCCCGCCACCCCCGGGAGCCCCGCGCGGGCCCGGCCCUGUCCCCGCCAUGGCGGCGGCGGUCGCGGCCCGGUGACGGCAGCAGGCGGCGCCGGGGCCAUGGCGGCCGCGCCGGGCCCGCGGGCCGGGGCUGAGGCUGAGACCGAGGAGCGGCGGCGGCUCCUGCGCUCCGUGACCCGGCUGCAGGCCUGUGCCAGGGGGUUCCUGCUGCGGCGGCGCCUGCGGAGCGCGCGGGCGGAGUUCGAGGCCGCCGUGCUGGAGAUCGAGGGCGACCUGAGGCAGCUGCGCUGGAUCGGCCGCGUCCUGCAGCGCCCGCGCUUCGGCCCCGAGGACGCUCCCGGCCCGGCCCCCGCAGGAUUUGGCGCUCCCGGUGCGGCCCGGCCUGCCCAGGUGAGUGAUUGAUUCCCCUCCCUGUGCCACUGCCCUGAGCACAGCAAAGGUUGGCAUGGCUCAAACCAGAGCAGCAGAGCCAUUAUAUUUUUAAAAUAUAUUUUAUUUUGUUUAUUGUAAUAUUUUCUUUGAUUUUUGAUACUUCUUUAUAUAUUAUAUAUUUCCUCUAUUUUAUAUUUUCUUCAGUAUGUUCAAAUUUAUUUACAUUUUCUAUUAUACAUUUUAUUUUGUUUGCUUUAAAAUUUUCUUUUAUAUAUCUUCUUUUAAUAUUUUCUUUCAUAUUUCUUUAUAUUUUCUCUUAUAUAUCUUUGUUUAUUUUAAUACUUUCAUUAAUAUUUUCUUUGAUAUUUUCUUUUGUUUCUUUUAUAUUCUCUUAUAUUUCUUUACAUUCCUUUUUUUUCUUCCUACUUUCUUCCUGUUCAUCUUCAUUUUUUCUUAAUAUUUUCCUUGAUAUUUUCUUUUAUGUUUCUUUUAUAUUUCUUUUACAUUCUCUUAUAUUUCUUUAUAUUUUCUAUUUCAUGAUAUUCCUUUUUUUUCCCCUAUUUUCUUCCGAUUCGUCUUUAUCUUUUCUUCCUAUUCCUCUCAUAUAUUUUUUUACGCUUUCUUGAUUUUUUAAAAAUAUUUUCU